Molecule: ribosomal RNA, 564 nt
Filed under: Streptomyces sp. 419F11
Lineage: Bacteria; Bacillati; Actinomycetota; Actinomycetes; Kitasatosporales; Streptomycetaceae
Description: bacterial SSU rRNA
Rfam family: Bacterial small subunit ribosomal RNA
Source: RNAcentral
UAGUGGCGAACGGGUGAGUAACACGUGGGCAAUCUGCCCUGCACUCUGGGACAAGCCCUGGAAACGGGGUCUAAUACCGGAUACGAGCCUCCUCCGCAUGGUGGAGGUUGGAAAGCUCCGGCGGUGCAGGAUGAGCCCGCGGCCUAUCAGCUUGUUGGUGAGGUAACGGCUCACCAAGGCGACGACGGGUAGCCGGCCUGAGAGGGCGACCGGCCACACUGGGACUGAGACACGGCCCAGACUCCUACGGGAGGCAGCAGUGGGGAAUAUUGCACAAUGGGCGAAAGCCUGAUGCAGCGACGCCGCGUGAGGGAUGAAGGCCUUCGGGUUGUAAACCUCUUUCAGCAGGGAAGAAGCGAAAGUGACGGUACCUGCAGAAGAAGCGCCGGCUAACUACGUGCCAGCAGCCGCGGUAAUACGUAGGGCGCAAGCGUUGUCCGGAAUUAUUGGGCGUAAAGAGCUCGUAGGCGGCUUGUCGCGUCGGUUGUGAAAGCCCGGNGCUUAACCCCGGGUCUGCAGNCGAUACNGGCAGGCUAGAGUUCGGUAGGGGAGAUCGGAAUUCCU